Long non-coding RNA from Alligator mississippiensis (American alligator), 1044 nucleotides. RefSeq lists it as uncharacterized. Lineage: Eukaryota; Metazoa; Chordata; Crocodylia; Alligatoridae. The record is from RefSeq and is a predicted model, not a curated record. The transcript has 2 exons.
CGCGCACGGCUCGGCGCCGCCGGCCACGGCCCCGGCCCCGCUCGCCCAUGGCCGCUCCCGCCGCCGGCACCGUCCUCACCUGCGGCUGCCGCGUCCCGCCCUGCCCUGCCCCCGGGCGCCGAGCCCAGCCCAGCCCCGCCGCGCCGCCUCCUCCCCGGGCCGGGGCCGGGGCCGGGGCUGGGGCUGGGGCCGGGGCGGGCGGGAGGCGGCGCUGCGCUGCUGGGGCUCCGGGGCGGCUCCUGCCCGGGCUGCGCGCAGGUGGCGGGGCCGCUCCCUCCCUCCCUCCCUCCUCCGCUGCGGGCGGGCGGAGCUCGGCUCGGCUCGGCUCGGCUCGGGAGCUAUGCCUGCAUCUGCCCGCGGGACCUGUCGGGGCACGGGCGGAGGCAGGGACGAGCAGGAUGCGGUUUCCGCGGCCCGGGAGUAGAGCGUGUGCCAGGCACUCUCGAGAAUGGGGCAUCGCCAACAAGACGCUUGUCUGGGGCUAGAUCAGCUUCGGCAAAGGACCCGACUCCAGCCCCUGAGCCGUUCUCCAGGCGCCGGGCCGCCUCUCCGCCCGCGCUGGCCGGGGCUCGCCCGUGUUGGGUUCCCUUUGAACUUCCUGGUAAGAGGCAGUCUUGGCUGUGGCUGCUGUUGAAAGAAACACGGUACCUGUAAGGGAUGGACUUCACCUAAACACCGAGCGGCCCGCGAGACUGUUAAUGCUGUUGUUCGCGUCCCCCUGGCCAGCCCUCCAUGAAAUAGGAAGGAGCUCUUGCCCGCGUUGCAUAGCUGAGGGGUGCAAGGCCUGGAGUCCCGAAGAGUCUCCUGUCAUCUAAUUCCCACUGAUUUCACUUCACUACCUUUGUGGAUUUCUGUCCAAUUUACUUGCCCAGGGUCACCCCAGGAAGAGUCAGGAACUGUGCCCACAUAUUUCAAGCAGCAGGCUAGCACCUAAACCACUGGAUUAUGCAGCCCUGCAGGAUUUCUAACAAAACAACAGCUUUGAAAUUCAUUUUUUUUUAGAUCAAGUUUUAUACCAAAUCAUUAAAACAUUUGUAGCGGAAA